Molecule: ribosomal RNA, 332 nt
Filed under: uncultured bacterium
Lineage: Bacteria
Description: bacterial SSU rRNA
Rfam family: Bacterial small subunit ribosomal RNA
Source: RNAcentral
UGUGUAGGCUGUCAUAUAAGUCUGAUGUGAAAGCCCCGGGCUCAACCCGGGAAGUGCAUUGGAAACUGUACGACUGGAGUCUCGGAGAGGUUGGUAGAAUUCUUGGUGUAGAGGUGAAAUUCGUAGAUAUCAAGAGGAAUACCGGCGGCGAAGGCGGCCAACUGGACGAAGACUGACGCUGAGACACGAAAGCGUGGGGAGCAAACAGGAUUAGAUACCCUGGUAGUCCACGCCGUAAACGAUGGGUGCUAGAUGUCACGGGCAAUGACUCUCGUGGUGUCGACGCUAACGCAUUAAGCACCCCGCCUGGGAAGUACGGCCGCAAGGCUAAA